GUGUCAGCCGCCGCGGUAAUACGGAGGGUGCGAGCGUUGUUCGGAUUUAUUGGGCGUAAAGCGCGUGUAGGCGGUUUUAUAAGUCUGAUGUGAAAGCCCCGGGCUCAACCUGGGAAGUGCAUUGGAUACUGUAAGACUUGAAUACGGGAGAGGGCAGUGGAAUUCCUAGUGUAGGAGUGAAAUCCGUAGAUAUUAGGAGGAACACCGGUGGCGAAGGCGGCUGCCUGGACCGAUAUUGACGCUGAGACGCGAAAGCGUGGGUAGCAAACAGGAUUAGAAACCCCGGUAGUCC
This 292-nucleotide ribosomal RNA is filed under the name uncultured bacterium. RNAcentral describes it as "partial 16S ribosomal RNA". It matches the Rfam family "Bacterial small subunit ribosomal RNA", at positions 505 to 796 of the family's 1533-position model. The record is from RNAcentral.